RNAcentral lists this ribosomal RNA (449 nucleotides) under uncultured bacterium. RNAcentral describes it as "bacterial SSU rRNA". It matches the Rfam family "Bacterial small subunit ribosomal RNA", at positions 330 to 794 of the family's 1533-position model. The record is from RNAcentral.
CCCAGACUCCUACGGGAGGCAGCAGUGGGGAAUAUUGGACAAUGGGGGGAACCCUGAUCCAGCGACGCCGCGUGAGUGAAGAAGUAUUUCGGUAUGUAAAGCUCUAUCAGCAGGGAAGAAGAAAUGACGGUACCUGACUAAGAAGCCCCGGCUAACUACGUGCCAGCAGCCGCGGUAAUACGUAGGGGGCAAGCGUUAUCCGGAUUUACUGGGUGUAAAGGGAGCGUAGACGGUGCAGCAAGUCUGGAGUGAAAGGCAGGGGCUUAACCCCUGAACUGCUUUGGAAACUGCCAUGCUAGAGUGCUGGAGAGGUAAGUGGAAUUCCUAGUGUAGCGGUGAAAUGCGUAGAUAUUAGGAGGAACACCAGUGGCGAAGGCGGCUUACUGGACAGUAACUGACGUUGAGGCUCGAAAGCGUGGGGAGCAAACAGGAUUAGAUACCCGUGUAAU